RNAcentral lists this transfer-messenger RNA (307 nucleotides) under Flavobacteriales bacterium. Its description in RNAcentral is "partial transfer-messenger RNA". It matches the Rfam family "transfer-messenger RNA", at positions 1 to 311 of the family's 374-position model. From Rfam's summary of the family: Bacterial tmRNA, also known as 10Sa RNA or SsrA, is named for its dual tRNA and mRNA-like properties. Lineage: Bacteria; Pseudomonadati; Bacteroidota; Flavobacteriia; Flavobacteriales. The record is from RNAcentral.
GGGGCUGACUGGAUUUGACAGCAAGAUGCGUUGGAUAGUAAGCAUGUCGAGCAUUGUAUUUUGGCUCGUAAAUAUCAAGAUUCAAAUUUUUAAUUGGCGAUCAAACUUUCGCUUUAGCUGCCUAAUUUAUAUAAUUAGAUAAGCUUUUGUCUCUAUCAAAGGACCUCCUAACGCCUUUGGUUUUUGAGGCAUCAUUAAUGUUAGGAUAGUUUGCAAACGGCUUCUGUUUGUAGGCAAAAUUUUAGAAGCUAAGGAUUGGUUUUGGUUGCUUAUUCCCUACCCUUUCUCGAAAAGUAAAAUAAGAUAA